AGGGGGAAGAGAAGAAGAGAAGUGAAAAAUUUGACAAUGAAAGAAAACAAAUCAUUUAUAAUUAAGCAGAAAAUAUCAAUUGAUUAAAGCAUUAAAAUUGUUUGAGAUAAUGACAGUGAUAAUAGGAAGUGAGUGAGGUGAUUAGAAUAAUCCUCUAGUUAAAGAUGGCGCUUCUUCUGUCCAUUUUUUAAGCAUCGCCUCGCCAAAUCAUCUACUGCAGUACAUCUCCAACUUUAAAGAGGACUAACUGAGGUUUUUUUUUAUUACUUUUUGCAGUAAUUUUUACUUUCUUGGUCUACGUAAUGGCGGAACUAAAUACUGUUGGUGAUACUGAGAAUGAAGAUAAGAAAUCUUUACAAAUUUUUACUGUUGAGGAAUUAAGGAAAUAUGAUGGAACUAAUGACAAAAAGCUUAUAUAUAUUGCCCUUGUUGGCGAUGUAUUCGAUGUAACUUCCGGUGAAAAAUUUUAUGGACAAGGAGCACCGUACUGUAUGUUUGCUGGUCGAGAUGCUACAAAAGGUCUGGGUACUUUCAAGUUGAAAAAUUUAGACGAUGACGAUUGGUCAGAUCUAAGCGAAAAACAUAUGGAAAAUGCUCAAAGGUGGCACUCUCAAUUUAAAGUAAAAUAUCCAAUAAUAGGAACACUAAAACGAGAUUUUAAAAAGAAAACGCUUAAUAAUAACGAUGAAUUAAAAUCGGAAGAAAAAAUUCAAGAAUCAAAGAAGAAUACGGCGAAUAGAGGAGGUCGUCCUGCUACUCCAAUGCCUAAAAAAGAAUCUCGCUUCUGUUUAAUAUUAUAAUGAAAAUAAAUAACUAGUUCUUUAAUUAAUAAAGUCAGAUACAUAGUAUAAAAUGUUAAUCUUCUUCUCAUUUAAAGGUAGGAUAUAGCCUAUCCUCCCUAAUAAAGAGACUAAACAGUUUGUUAUUCAUCAGUUUUUCGUUGUUAAAUAACAAUAACAAUAAUACAAAUCUGGUUCU
This 978-nucleotide unclassified non-coding RNA is filed under the name Dimorphilus gyrociliatus. RNAcentral's name for it is "cytochrome b5 heme-binding domain-containing protein". The record is from RNAcentral. Lineage: Eukaryota; Metazoa; Annelida; Polychaeta; Dinophilidae.